RNAcentral lists this ribosomal RNA (253 nucleotides) under uncultured bacterium. RNAcentral describes it as "partial 16S ribosomal RNA". It matches the Rfam family "Bacterial small subunit ribosomal RNA", at positions 524 to 776 of the family's 1533-position model. The record is from RNAcentral.
AACGUAGGACGCAAGCGAUAUCCGGAGUUACUGGGCGUAAAGGGCGUUUAGGCGGCUGUUCAAGUUCGUCGUGAAAGACCCCGGCUCAACCGGGGGUGGUCGAGGGAGACUGAACAGCUGGAGGACGGUAGAGGGACAGGGAAUUCCGGGUGUAGUGGUGAAAUGCGUAGAGAUCCGGAGGAACACCAGUGGCGAAGGUGCUGUCCGGGGCCGACCCUGACUCUGAGACGCGACAGCAUGGGGAGCGAACGGG